UAUUAGCCACUAGUGGAGGAGACCCACUUCGAAACUCCUUGUAGCCACACUUUUAAGGAAAAGAAGACUAUCACACAUCUUAGUUAAAACCAAAGCAUCUCAAUAUUACCAGCUGACAAAGGGAGGUGCACUGCUGUUCUCAAUUCAUCUGAUUAUCACUACAAAAUGACAACACCUUUCAACAAUUUGAGGAGUGCGGUAAUAUUUUACAGCAACACUUAUGCGUUCUUAAGGCAGAUGGCCUGAGAUUUGAUCUACAAUAUUUAUACAGAGGAGUUCUUGCCUCACUUGGUGACUCCAAAGUUCCCAGGUCCUUUGUCUGCAAAACAAGCCCAAAUCAUCACCCCUCCACCACCGUGUUUGACAUCUGGUAUGAGACCCUGUCGCACAGUCCAGUUGGGAGGAGGAAAGAUGACUUUGUCUGGCCGAGAAACACUGCAAACGGCACAGUCACAAGGUUAUCUUGGCUGGAAUGAAGGAAAUGUAGUGAAAGAGAUCAGGGGAAUGGCAUGCACCAAAGGUCCAGAUGGCCAUCUGAACUAGUUGUAUUUGAUGAGAAGCUAGAAUGAGACUCAAGAGAAAGAUUCAGAAAGAUUCUUACAGAACUUGGAAAGAAGGCAUUCUUGUUUUCUGCCAAUCCUCAUUGAAUGCAUUACAGAAGGACUCGCAGCUCUCUCAGUUAAAUCAUCACUAUGUGAACUUGUUCCUGUUUUUGAAAUGACUGUGUAAA
Molecule: long non-coding RNA, 730 nt
Organism: Oreochromis aureus
Lineage: Eukaryota; Metazoa; Chordata; Actinopteri; Cichliformes; Cichlidae
Exons: 5
Source: RefSeq, a predicted model, not a curated record